UGUUCUGUAGCUUAGUUGGUUAAAGCGCCGGUCUAGCGUACACGGAGUCGUGAGUUCGAGUCUAACUAGAACGC
RNAcentral lists this transfer RNA (74 nucleotides) under Aedes aegypti (yellow fever mosquito). It matches the Rfam family "tRNA". From Rfam's summary of the family: Transfer RNA (tRNA) molecules are approximately 80 nucleotides in length. Their secondary structure includes four short double-helical elements and three loops (D, anti-codon, and T loops). Lineage: Eukaryota; Metazoa; Arthropoda; Insecta; Diptera; Culicidae. The record is from Rfam by way of RNAcentral.